Molecule: ribosomal RNA, 468 nt
Filed under: uncultured bacterium
Lineage: Bacteria
Also listed under: 1 other name
Description: bacterial SSU rRNA
Rfam family: Bacterial small subunit ribosomal RNA
Source: RNAcentral
GAUGAACGCUGGCGGCGUGCCUAACACAUGCAAGUCGAACGGACUUACAUUGAAGCCUAGCGAUAUGUAAGUUAGUGGCGGACGGGUGAGUAACGCGUGGGUAACCUGCCUUGUACUGGGGGACAACAGUUGGAAACGACUGCUAAUACCGCAUAAGCGCACAGCUUCGCAUGAAGCAGUGUGAAAAACUCCGGUGGUACAAGAUGGACCCGCGUCUGAUUAGCUGGUUGGUGAGGUAACGGCCCACCAAGGCGACGAUCAGUAGCCGGCCUGAGAGGGUGAACGGCCACAUUGGGACUGAGACACGGCCCAAACUCCUACGGGAGGCAGCAGUGGGGAAUAUUGCACAAUGGGGGAAACCCUGAUGCAGCAACGCCGCGUGAGUGAAGAAGUAUUUCGGUAUGUAAAGCUCUAUCAGCAGGAAAGAAAAUGACGGUACCUGACUAAGAAGCCCCGGCUAACUACGUG